Molecule: ribosomal RNA, 406 nt
Filed under: uncultured bacterium
Lineage: Bacteria
Description: partial 16S ribosomal RNA
Rfam family: Bacterial small subunit ribosomal RNA
Source: RNAcentral
AUUGACCGCUGGCGGCAGGCCUAACACAUGCAAGUCGAACGAGUGGCGGACGGGUGAGUCAUGCCUGGGCAACUGCCUGAUGGAGGGGGAUAACUACUGGCAACGGUAGCUAAUACCGCCUACCAUCGGAUGUGCCCUGAUGGGCUUAGCGAGUAGGUGGGGUAACGGCUCACCUAGGCGACGAUCCCUAGCGGGUCUGAGAGGAUGAACGACGACACUAGGACGAAGACAGGGUCCAGAGUCCUACGGGAGACAGCAGUUGGGAAAAUGGCACAACGGACGCAAGCCUGAUACAGGCAAGCCGCGUGUAGGAAGAGAGCCUUCGGGUUGUAAAGUACGUGCAGCGGGGAGGCGGUACCCGCAGAAGAAACACCGGAUAACUCCGUGCCAGCAGCCGCGGUAAUAC